GGUGCUAACGUCCGUCGUGGAGAGGGAAACAACCCAGACCGCCAGCUAAGGUCCCAAAUUACAGCUAAGUGGGAAACGAUGUGGGAAGGCUUAGACAGCUAGGAUGUUGGCUUAGAAGCAGCCAUCAUUUAAAGAAAGCGUAAUAGCUCACUAGUCGAGUCGGCCUGCGCGGAAGAUGUAACGGGGCUAAGCUGUAAACCGAAGCUGCGGCAAUGCAUUUUAUGUAUUGGGUAGGGGAGCGUUCUGUAAGCCGUUGAAGGUGWGUUGUAAAGCUUGCUGGAGGUAUCAGAAGUGCGAAUGCUGACAUGAGUAACGAUAAAGGGGGUGAAAAACCUCCUCGCCGGAAGACCAAGGGUUCCUGUCCAACGUUAAUCGGGGCAGGGUAAGUCGACCCCUAAGGCGAGGCCGAAAGGCGUAGUCGAUGGGAAACGGGUUAAUAUUCCCGUACUUCUUACAAUUGCGAUGGGGGGACGGAGAAGGCUAGGUGGGCCUGGCGACGGUUGUCCAGGUUCAAGUGCGUAGGCUUGAGAGUUAGGUAAAUCCGGCUCUCUCUAAGGCUGAGACACGACGUCGAGCUGCUACGGCAGUGAAGUCAUUGAUGCCAUGCUUCCAGGAAAAGCCUCUAAGCUUCAGAUUGUAAGGAAUCGUACCCCAAACCGACACAGGUGGUCGGGUAGAGAAUACCAAGGCGCUUGAGAGAACUCGGGUGAAGGAACUAGGCAAAAUGGUACCGUAACUUCGGGAGAAGGUACGCUCCUGUCGGUGAAGUCCCUUGCGGAUGGAGCUAACGGGAGUCGCAGAUACCAGGUGGCUGCAACUGUUUAUUAAAAACACAGCACUGUGCAAAAUCGUAAGAUGACGUAUACGGUGUGACGCCUGCCCGGUGCCGGAAGGUUAAUUGAUGGGGUUAGACGUAAGUCGAAGCUCUUGAUCGAAGCCCCGGUAAACGGCGGCCGUAACUAUAACGGUCCUAAGGUAGCGAAAUUCCUUGUCGGGUAAGUUCCGACCUGCACGAAUGGCGUAAUGAUGGCCACGCUGUCUCCACCCGAGACUCAGUGAAAUUGAAAUCGCUGUGAAGAUGCAGUGUACCCGCGGCUAGACGGAAAGACCCCGUGAACCUUUACUACAGCUUGGCACUGAACAUUGACCCUACAUGUGUAGGAUAGGUGGGAGGCUUUGAAACCGGUACGCCAGUAUCGGUGGAGCCGUCCUUGAAAUACCACCCUUGUAGUGUUGAUGUUCUAACUUAGACCCGUUAUCCGGGUUGAGGACAGUGCCUGGUGGGUAGUUUGACUGGGGCGGUCUCCUCCCAAAGAGUAACGGAGGAGCACGAAGGUGGGCUAAUCACGGUUGGACAUCGUGAGGUUAGUGCAAUGGCAUAAGCCCGCUUGACUGCGAGAAUGACAAUUCGAGCAGGUGCGAAAGCAGGUCAUAGUGAUCCGGUGGUUCUGUAUGGAAGGGCCAUCGCUCAACGGAUAAAAGGUACUCCGGGGAUAACAGGCUGAUACCGCCCAAGAGUUCAUAUCGACGGCGGUGUUUGGCACCUCGAUGUCGGCUCAUCACAUCCUGGGGCUGAAGUCGGUCCCAAGGGUAUGGCUGUUCGCCAUUUAAAGUGGUACGCGAGCUGGGUUUAGAACGUCGUGAGACAGUUCGGUCCCUAUCUGCCGUGGGCGUUGGAAGAUUGAAGGGGGCUGCUCCUAGUACGAGAGGACCGGAGUGGACGAACCUCUGGUGUUCGGGUUGUCAUGCCAAUGGCAUUGCCCGGUAGCUAAGUUCGGAAUCGAUAACCGCUGAAAGCAUCUAAGCGGGAAGCGAGCCCUGAGAUGAGUCUUCCCUGACCCCUUGAGGGUCCUAAAGGGUUGUUCGAGACUAGAACGUUGAUAGGCAGGGUGUGUAAGCGUUGUGAGGCGUUGAGCUAACCUGUACUAAUUGCCCGUGAGGCUUAACCAUACAACACCCAAAGGGUUUUG
This 1970-nucleotide ribosomal RNA is filed under the name Vibrio coralliilyticus. RNAcentral describes it as "partial 23S ribosomal RNA". Lineage: Bacteria; Pseudomonadati; Pseudomonadota; Gammaproteobacteria; Vibrionales; Vibrionaceae. The record is from RNAcentral.